Long non-coding RNA from Anolis carolinensis (green anole), 346 nucleotides. RefSeq lists it as uncharacterized. The transcript is spliced from 4 exons. NCBI's taxonomy places the organism in Eukaryota, Metazoa, Chordata, Lepidosauria, Squamata, Anolidae. The record is from RefSeq and is a predicted model, not a curated record.
UCUCCAAAGCUGUCAUGGAAAUGGACCAUUAAAGUAAAUGUCAUACCCAAUGGCAGUGCCAUCAAUGCCUCAUAGUUGUGAGUGUGGAAAACUGGGUUCAUGGAUAUUCUCAGCUUUUUACUUCAGCAUUAGAAGUAACCAGUGGUGAUGCAUUGUCAGAGAGGAACAGUUAAAACAAGUAGAUUAUCAAGCAAACCAUCUAAAGUGCUUGAGAGAUAAGAGGGUGCAACAAAUCAAAAUAGAACUUACUUUAAGGAAACAAUCUGAGAUGCUGCAUGAAGGUUUAAGUCCAUGAAAGUAAAGUAUUUAGCUGGAAAGUACUUUUUGGAAGUAUCCAAAACUCUGA